RNAcentral lists this transfer RNA (76 nucleotides) under Endozoicomonadaceae bacterium. RNAcentral describes it as "tRNA-Thr". It matches the Rfam family "tRNA". From Rfam's summary of the family: Transfer RNA (tRNA) molecules are approximately 80 nucleotides in length. Lineage: Bacteria; Pseudomonadati; Pseudomonadota; Gammaproteobacteria; Oceanospirillales; Endozoicomonadaceae. The record is from RNAcentral.
GCUCGCGUGGCUCAGUAGGUAGAGCGCACCCUUGGUAAGGGUGAGGUCACCGGUUCGAUUCCGGUCGUGAGCACCA